AGUGAAAACAAAAACACAACAUUUAUGAAGAUAUAAGCAGUAACAACAACAGGAUAACUCUUAAUUGUGACACAAUAUAUUCUUAUUAGCCAUAUCGUAGCACCAGACUUUGAACCGUACUCCUGAAUCCUAGAAUUUGUGUAAUGAAGAGUCCAACCUCUAGAUCAACAUCUGUAUCAGAUGCCCACUUUCAUAACAUGAAUGAGCUUAAUAGAAUUUUGUAAGUCUGUGAAUAAAGUAGAAAACAUGUAUUUGUUGACUUUCUUCUCUACUUAUCUAACCUUGCUGGGCUGAGA
Molecule: unclassified non-coding RNA, 296 nt
Filed under: Hevea brasiliensis (rubber tree)
Lineage: Eukaryota; Viridiplantae; Streptophyta; Magnoliopsida; Malpighiales; Euphorbiaceae
Source: RNAcentral